CUGAGAACCGGCGCCCUCGUGGCCCGACCCUCAAACCACCGAGUACCUUACCCCAACGUUGCCUCGGCGGGCGCGGCCUCGCGCCGCCCCGCCGGUGGACAAAACCAUAACAGCUUUGUAUGACGAUUGUCUGAUAUUACUCUUCGCGAAUGCGAUAAAGUA
This 162-nucleotide unclassified non-coding RNA is filed under the name uncultured Ascomycota. Its description in RNAcentral is "sequence contains ITS1". The record is from RNAcentral. RNAcentral also lists the same sequence under 1 other name. Lineage: Eukaryota; Fungi; Ascomycota.